AACGAACGCUGGCGGCAUGCCUAACACAUGCAAGUCGAACGAACCCUUCGGGUUAGUGGCGCACGGGUGGCGUAACGCGUGGGAAUCUGCCCUUGGGUUCGGGAAUAACAGUUAGAAAUGACUGCUAAUACCGGAUGAUGUCUUCGGACCAAAGAUUUAUCGCCCAGGGAUGAGCCCGCGUAGGAUUAGGUAGUUGGUGGGGUAAAGGCCUACCAAGCCGACGAUCCUUAGCUGGUCUGAGAGGAUGAUCAGCCACACUGGGACUGAGACACGGCCCAGACUCCUACGGGAGGCAGCAGUGGGGAAUAUUGGACAAUGGGCGAAAGCCUGAUCCAGCAAUGCCGCGUGAGUGAUGAAGGCCUUAGGGGUUGU
Molecule: ribosomal RNA, 372 nt
Filed under: uncultured bacterium
Lineage: Bacteria
Description: bacterial SSU rRNA
Rfam family: Bacterial small subunit ribosomal RNA
Source: RNAcentral